RNAcentral lists this transfer RNA (72 nucleotides) under Leptopeza flavipes. Its description in RNAcentral is "tRNA-Val". It matches the Rfam family "tRNA". Rfam says of the family: Transfer RNA (tRNA) molecules are approximately 80 nucleotides in length. Lineage: Eukaryota; Metazoa; Arthropoda; Insecta; Diptera; Hybotidae. The record is from RNAcentral.
CAAUUUAAAGCUUAUUUAAUAAAGUAUUUCAUUUACAUUGAAAAGAUUGUUGUGUAAAUCAAUAUAAAUUGA